GGCUCGGUAGCGCGUGGAGCGCAUCUGCUUCUGAUUGUGGUCGUUGACACAGAUUAUGGCAGACCUCGCCCGUUCGACUCGGGCCCGAGCCA
Non-coding RNA from Mycena latifolia, 92 nucleotides. NCBI's taxonomy places the organism in Eukaryota, Fungi, Basidiomycota, Agaricomycetes, Agaricales, Mycenaceae. The record is from the annotation of a GenBank genome assembly.